UAACAAGGAUUCCCCUAGUAACUGCGAGUGAAGCGGGAAAAGCUCAAAUUUAAAAUCUGGCGGUCUUUGGCCGUCCGAGUUGUAAUCUAGAGAAGCGUUACCCGCGUUGGACCGUGUACAAGUCUCCUGGGAUGGAGCAUCAUAGAGGGUGAGAAUCCCGUCUCUGACACGGACUACCAGGGCUUUGUGGUGCACUCUCAAAGAGUCGAGUUGUUUGGGAAUGCAGCUCUAAACGGGUGGUAAAUUCCAUCUAAAGCUAAAUAUUGGCGAGAGACCGAUAGCGAACAAGUACCGUGAGGGAAAGAUGAAAAGAACUUUGGAAAGAGAGUUAAACAGUACGUGAAAUUGCUGAAAGGGAAACGCUUGAAGUCAGUCGCGUUGUCCGGGGAUCAGCCUCGCUCCUGCGUGGUGUACUUCCUGGUUGACGGGUCAGCAUCAAUUUUGACCGCUGGAAAAGGACUUGGGGAAUGUGGCAUCUUCGGAUGUGUUAUAGCCCCUUGUCGCAUACGGCGGUUGGGAUUGAGGAACUCAGCACGCCGCAAGGCCGGGUUUCGACCACGUUCGUGCUUAGGAUGCUGGCAUAAUGGCUUUAAUCGACCCGUCUUGAAACACGGACCAAGGAGUCUAACAUACCUGCGAGUGUUUGGGUGGAAAACCCGAGCGCGCAAUGAAAGUGAAAGUUGAGAUCCCUGUCGUGGGGAGCAUCGACGCCCGGACCAGAACUUUUGGGACGGAUCUGCGGUAGAGCAUGUAUGUUGGGACCCGAAAGAUGGUGAACUAUGCCUGAAUAGGGUGAAGCCAGAGGAAACUCUGGUGGAGGCUCGUAGCGAUUCUGACGUGCAAAUCGAUCGUCAAAUUUGGGUAUAGGGGCGAAAGACUAAUCGAGGCAU
RNAcentral lists this ribosomal RNA (890 nucleotides) under Tulostoma brumale. RNAcentral describes it as "eukaryotic LSU rRNA". It matches the Rfam family "Eukaryotic large subunit ribosomal RNA", at positions 66 to 943 of the family's 3401-position model. Lineage: Eukaryota; Fungi; Basidiomycota; Agaricomycetes; Agaricales; Agaricaceae. The record is from RNAcentral.